RNAcentral lists this ribosomal RNA (593 nucleotides) under Bacillus licheniformis. RNAcentral's name for it is "bacterial SSU rRNA". It matches the Rfam family "Bacterial small subunit ribosomal RNA", at positions 59 to 633 of the family's 1533-position model. The record is from RNAcentral. Lineage: Bacteria; Bacillati; Bacillota; Bacilli; Caryophanales; Bacillaceae.
CAGUCGAGCGGACCGACGGGAGCUUGCUCCCUUAGGUCAGCGGCGGACGGGUGAGUAACACGUGGGUAACCUGCCUGUAAGACUGGGAUAACUCCGGGAAACCGGGGCUAAUACCGGAUGCUUGAUUGAACCGCAUGGUUCAAUNAUAAAAGGUGGCUUUNAGCUACCACUUACAGAUGGACCCGCGGCGCAUUAGCUAGUUGGUGAGGUAACGGCUCACCAAGGCGACGAUGCGUAGCCGACCUGAGAGGGUGAUCGGCCACACUGGGACUGAGACACGGCCCAGACUCCUACGGGAGGCAGCAGUAGGGAAUCUUCCGCAAUGGACGAAAGUCUGACGGAGCAACGCCGCGUGAGUGAUGAAGGUUUUCGGAUCGUAAAACUCUGUUGUUAGGGAAGAACAAGUACCGUUCGAAUAGGGCGGNACCUUGACGGUACCUAACCAGAAAGCCACGGCUAACUACGUGCCAGCAGCCGCGGUAAUACGUAGGUGGCAAGCGUUGUCCGGAAUUAUUGGGCGUAAAGCGCGCGCAGGCGGUUUCUUAAGUCUGAUGUGAAAGCCCCCGGCUCAACCGGGGAGGGUCAUUGGAAAC